Molecule: ribosomal RNA, 460 nt
Filed under: uncultured bacterium
Lineage: Bacteria
Description: partial 16S ribosomal RNA
Rfam family: Bacterial small subunit ribosomal RNA
Source: RNAcentral
CCUACGGGAGGCAGCAGUGAGGAAUAUUGGUCAAUGGCCGAGAGGCUGAACCAGCCAAGUCGCGUGAGGGAAGACGGCCCUACGGGUUGUAAACCUCUUUUGUCGGGGAGCAAAGCGAGUCACGUGUGACUCAUUGAGAGUAACCGAAGAAAAAGCCUCGGCUAACUCCGUGCCCGCAGCCGAGGUAAUACGGAAGGUCCGGGCGUUAUCCGGAUUUAUUGGGGUUAAAGGGAGCGUAGGCCGCAUGGCAAGCGUGCUGGGAAAUGUGCGGGCUCAACCCGGGCCUUGCAGCGCGAACUGGCGUGCUUGAGUCCGCGGAAAGCAGGCGGAAUUCGUCGUGUAGCGGUGAAAUGCUUAGAUAUGACGAAGAACCCCGAUUGCGAAGGCAGCUUGCUGCAGCGGAACUGACGCUGAUGCUCGAAAGCGCGGGUAUCGAACAGGAUUAGAUACCCCAGUAGUC